AGUCUUGUCACGUGAUGAAGCUCUUUAAAAAAGAGAGGCGUUUGCUCUCGACCGACCAACUCAACUCCAAUUGAGAGAGUUCAAAAAUAAUUUUUGCAUCUUGCAAGUUACUCCCCUUAUCUAAGUUGGACUUGAAACAGAGCGUGCCUUGUAUGAUAUAUACGGGUGAGCUAAAAAAGGUAUCACUGGUUGCAGCAAAAUUUGGAGAUUGUUAUAGGAAGAUUCAGGCUUUACUAGGGAAUGGGUGGCUUCAGAAAAAGAAAUAACAGGUUCAAAAACGGCACUUCGUACAUUAUAUGGAACAAGAGCUUGCUAAAUACAACUUUCGAUACUUGCUUAAGAAGGAUGAAAUUGCAAGAUCCCAUAGGAUUUGAUGGACUUAUGAGAAAUUUCAAAGAUUUGAGGGACUAAUAUGAAGCUAUUGAAGAUUUGAGGGACUAAUAUCUAAAUAAACCAAAAAUAUAAUAUCCUUUUGAUGUUAAUUUUUUGUAUAUUUACAAUUUUGUACAUAACGAAAGAGGUAUCCAAACUGGUGUUGCCACUGCUUUUAAGGGGGAUAAAUUUUAUGUGACAAAUUUUCUGGUAAUAUUUUAUAGUGCUUAAAUAGUUGUAUUUAUCUUGCAAUAGUGGAAACUCUAAUUUUGUUUCUUCCUCCUUAUCUCCAUAGUUGAACUUAGAGCACUUAUAGAGAGAUAUACUGAUUUUGGACGCCGCUACAGCAGAAUAUUCUCUUAAACCUUGUGUUUCACUUGUCACAAAAUUUGAGCUUAAGGGUCAAAGAGAAAAGGUGUUUAUAGCUAACACUCACAUGUCUGCGAAAUCUGAGCUCUCCAGGAUAAUGUAGGUAUGUAUUAACAUAUAAAUACCACUUCAUCGGGUUGAAUUUUCAAAAGCAAAAAACACAUAAUGUGCUGAAUUUUCACUUACUAUGAGUUAAAGCUGCUAACUUUAGAUUUAACUAAUAGUAAGUGAAAAUUCAGCACAUUGUGUGUUUUUUGCUUUUGAAAAUUCAACUCGAUGAAGUGAUAUUUAUACGUUAAUACAUACCUACAUUAUCCUGGAGAGCUCAGAUUUCGCAGACAGGUGAGUUUUAGCUAUAAACACCUUUUCUCUUUGACCAUUAAGCUCAAAUUUUGUGACAAGUGAAACACAAGGUUUAAGAGAAUAUUCUGCUGUAGCGGCGUCUAAAAUCAGUAUAUCUCUCGGUAAGCGCUCUAAGUUCAACUAUGGAGAUAAGGAGGAAGAAAUAAAAUUAGAGGCUCCACUAUUGCAAGAUAAAUGCAAAUAUUUAAGCACUAUAAAAUAUUAUCAAAAAUUUAUCAUAUAAAAUUUAUCCACCUUAAAAGCAGUGACAACACUAGUUUGGAUACCUCUUUCGUUAUGUACAAAAUUGUAAAUAAACAAAAAAUUAACAUCAAAAGGAUAUAACAUUUUUGGGUUAUUUAGAUAUUAGUCCCACACAUACGGCCACAUCCACACACGGCCAGGCUACAGGCUAUAAAUAGGAACAAUAAUUUGUUCCUAGGGUUUAGUGCAAGGCAGGGGACAAUCAUAGAAGGUUUUGCGGCUGGGCUUGGUGAAAACACAGAGGAUAGUUGCUGUUUUGAAGAGGAGUUUUGUGCAGCUGUUUUUAGAGUUUGAGCAUCCUUUUGAGGGAGAUAUUUGUGUGAGAUUUGAGAGCUUGUUUGAGGGUUUAAUUUGUAUGAUUGUAAACCUUAUUUGUAUUCUCUCUCUCUAAUAGUAGAUCUCCCCCCUCCUUGUCCCAUGGACGUAGGCAUCUUGCCGAACCACGUAAAA
Molecule: long non-coding RNA, 1797 nt
Organism: Asparagus officinalis (garden asparagus)
Lineage: Eukaryota; Viridiplantae; Streptophyta; Magnoliopsida; Asparagales; Asparagaceae
Exons: 5
Source: RefSeq, a predicted model, not a curated record